Transfer RNA from Camelus ferus (Wild Bactrian camel), 72 nucleotides. It matches the Rfam family "tRNA". From Rfam's summary of the family: Transfer RNA (tRNA) molecules are approximately 80 nucleotides in length. Their secondary structure includes four short double-helical elements and three loops (D, anti-codon, and T loops). Lineage: Eukaryota; Metazoa; Chordata; Mammalia; Artiodactyla; Camelidae. The record is from Rfam.
GAGGGUAUAGCUCAGUGGUAGAGUGUGUACUUAGCAUGCACUAGGUCCUGGGUUCAAUCCUCAGUACCUCCA